Molecule: ribosomal RNA, 1975 nt
Filed under: human gut metagenome
Description: bacterial LSU rRNA
Rfam family: Bacterial large subunit ribosomal RNA
Source: RNAcentral
GUUCUCCCCGAAAUAGCUUUAGGGCUAGCGUCGAAGUAAGGGUAGUGGAGGUAGAGCACUGAAUUCAUGAUGGCGCCGUCAAGGUGUACUGAAUGAAAUCAAACUCCGAAUGCCAUUAUUGAAUCUUCGGCAGUCAGACUGUGGGUGAUAAGGUCCAUGGUCAAAAGGGAAACAGCCCAGACCGCCAGUUAAGGUCCCAAAAUGCAUGCUGAGUGGAAAAGGAUGUGGGGAUGCACAGACAACUAGGAGGUUGGCUCAGAAGCAGCCACCCUUCAAAGAGUGCGUAACAGCUCACUAGUCGAGUGACCCUGCGCCGAAAAUGUACCGGGGCUAAGCAUGCUACCGAAGCUGCGGAUUUGUAGGAAUACAAGUGGUAGGGGAGCGUUCUAUGCAGCGUAGAAGCCAUAUCGUGAGGAGUGGUGGAGCGCAUAGAAGUGAGAAUGCCGGUGUGAGUAGCGAGAUGUAGGUGAGAAUCCUACACACCGAUAGCCCAAGGAUUCCAGGGGAAGGUUCGUCCGCCCUGGGUAAGUCGGGACCUAACGCGAGGCCGAAAGGCGUAGUGGAUGGAAAACAGGCAGAUAUUCCUGUACCCGCGAUGGAAAUGAAGGAAUGACGGAGAAGGUAAGUAUGACCCACUAAAUGGAUUGUGGGCGAAGCGUAUAGCAGGAUGGCAGUGAAAUGCGUCAUCAGGAUGUAAAGCGUGAAAGGUAAGGGAACGCCCAAGGGCAAGUACCGAAGCAUAUGUAGCCAGCUUCCAGGAAAAGUUUCUAGUAUAUUCCAUAGCGGCCCGUACCAAAACCGACACAGGUGGGCAAGGAGAGGAUCCUGAGGUGAGCGAGAGAACUGUUGCCAAGGAACUCGGCAAAAUGACUCCGUAAGUUAGCGAGAAGGAGUGCUUAUGAAAGUAAGCCGCAGUGAAGAGGCCCAAGCGACUGUUUAACUAAAACACAGCUCUCUGCAAAGUCGCAAGACGAAGUAUAGGGGGUGACGCCUGCCCGGUGCUGGAAGGUUAAGAGGAUUUGUCAGUAGCGAUACGAAGCAAUGAAUUGAAGCCCCAGUGAACGGCGGCCGUAACUAUAACGGUCCUAAGGUAGCGAAAUUCCUUGUCAGGUAAGUUCUGACCCGCACGAAAGGCGUAACGAUUUGGGCGCUGUCUCGGCAGCAGACUCGGUGAAAUCUUAGUACCUGUGAAAAUGCAGGUUACCCGCAACUAGACGGAAAGACCCCAUGGAGCUUUACUGCAGCCUGAUAUUGAGUUUCGAUCAGAGAUGUACAGGAUAGGUGGGAGACAAAGAGACAUGCACGCCAGUGUAUGAGGAGUCGCUGUUGGGAUACCACUCUUGUCUGAUUGGAAUUCUAACCUGCAUCCCUAAGCGGGAUGAGGGACCGUGUCAGGUGGGCAGUUUGACUGGGGCGGUCGCCUCCCAAAGAGUAACGGAGGCGCCCAAAGGUACGCUCAGAUUGGAUGGAAAUCAAUCGACGAGUGCAAAUGCAGAAGCGUGCUUGACUGCGAGACAAACAGGUCGAGCAGGGACGAAAGUCGGGAUUAGUGAUCCGGCGGUGCCGAAUGGAAGGGCCGUCGCUCAACGGAUAAAAGCUACCCUGGGGAUAACAGGCUGAUCUCGCCCAAGAGUUCACAUCGACGGCGAGGUUUGGCACCUCGAUGUCGGCUCAUCGCAUCCUGGAGCUGAAUUCGGUUCCAAGGGUUGGGCUGUCCGCCCAUUAAAGCGGUACGCGAGCUGGGUUCAGAACGUCGUGAGACAGUUCGGUCCCUAUCUGUUGUGGGCGAAGGAGAUUUGAGGAGAGCUGUCCUUAGUACGAGAGGACCGGGAUGGACCUACCGCUGGUGCACCGGUUGUUCCGCCAGGAGCAUAGCCGGGUAGCUAAGUAGGGAAGGGAUAAGCGCUGAAAGCAUCUAAGCGCGAAGCCUACUCCAAGAUGAGAUCUCCCAUUCGCAAGAAGUAAGACCCCUUGA